GGUAUAGUGGCAUAGUGGUUUGAGUGUUGGACUAUGACUCAGGAGAUCAGGGUUCAAUUCCCAGUUCAGCCA
Molecule: transfer RNA, 72 nt
Filed under: Phrynosoma platyrhinos (Desert horned lizard)
Lineage: Eukaryota; Metazoa; Chordata; Lepidosauria; Squamata; Phrynosomatidae
Description: tRNA-OTHER
Source: RNAcentral